Oxyura jamaicensis (ruddy duck) is the source of this 2314-nucleotide long non-coding RNA. RefSeq lists it as uncharacterized. Lineage: Eukaryota; Metazoa; Chordata; Aves; Anseriformes; Anatidae. The transcript has 3 exons. The record is from RefSeq and is a predicted model, not a curated record.
CGCGUCAUCCUCACGUAACUUCUUUCAUCCCGGGUUGUUGUUAUUGCUCCUAGGUCUGGCCGAUCUCCCGUGAGGCGUUGAAAGGGAAACCCGACGGAGGAGCCCGAGAUGAAAGCGCCCUGCUUCUGCCCGAGCAGAGGAGAAUGGGGAGCGGUACGCGUGGCACCAUCUCAGUCCGGCCCCGGGGGCUAGAGUUUGACAAAGACUGGGAUAAUGGUUGAGUGCUGCAGCUAUCCAGAGCAUUGUUACGCGGAUACGAAGAUCCAGGACGGCUGCUUCACUUCACCUUCGUGUCUUCUGAAGCUGUUGUACGUCAAGAGGAGCCCAGUUCUGGGGACGCGUUUGGAGGCAGCUCAGCAACCAGUUGAGGCCUAACCCUUGUUGUUUCCCCGUGCCCUGAUCCCUGAUAAAACAGAGCAGGCUCCUGCUAAGCUGUGUGUGUUAGGGGUGGGCGGCUUUCUUUUAUUUAAGCCUGGUUGAGAUCUGAAUGGAUACUGACUGGUAGAAUAAAUAACCCCAGAAACCCCUUUGUGAAGAAAAGCAGCCACGUACCCCGCGUUGAGCCAAAGGUCUCACACCUCCAGCUAGCUGUGCUCUGUCCAGCAGCGUUUCAGUUGACUUGCACAGAAUCCACGUAGUCACUCUUUCCCCGGGGGCUCUGGCGUGCAGACAUCUGAGUCGAGUCUGUGUUUUCUGGCAGCAGGAGCAAGGUCAAGCCAGUUUGGCCCACAUCAUUUUUUUUUUAAAUUGUAAUGGAAAAAGGAUCCAGUCUGAGUCUUGCUGGAAACAGAAGUUUUUCACUUAGUUACAGCUGAGUACAGCCACGCUUCCUGGCUCCCUCCCUCCCCUGGGUCUCGUAGCAUAAUCGAAUUAUUAAAUAAUUGCAAUAAAAGUACACUUUGCCCUGGCAAAAUAGGACUGACUGAAGCCUGUUGGUAGGACAGAUAUUUUUAUGCCAUCCUUGUCCCGUUCCUGCCAAAAUAAGGUGGGUUUUUUUUUUUUUGGAUUCUCUUGUCAGCGUUUGGAUUUGUGACCUGAUCCUUUAAAACAUUCCUCCCAGCCUAGGCAGUGCUCUCCGGCUGCCUGGCACCGCUGUUAACGCCUCUCUUCCUAAUCAAUCACGUCCACCGCGAGCUUCCUUAAAGGAAAACUCUGCUCAGGUUGUUCAGUCCGACGGCACAGACUUUCACAGGUGUAAGAACAAAACCUGUUUGGCACAACGAAUCCCACUGGUGUGGGAAGAGGAGGAGAAACUCUGAUCCCUUCUGGCGUUUCUGGGACUAUGCAGGCAGUUCUUGCCUUAAAACUGGCUGCGGUGCCACGGACAACCAGCUGCAGACGCUUCGUAGCCCAGUUCCUGGCUGACAUAAAUGUCUUGGUUGUAGUAAGAACGUUGGGGAUAUUAACAGCAACUUGUGUGUGUAGGGGGGGCAGAAUUUGGCUUUACUUGCUCCGCUAAUUAAAAAGCAGUCCCAAAUCGCCGUGUUCUGCGCCUCGGGCACUAGCGGAGGGAGAGGAGUGGGUGCUUAGGAUGUGCCUCGCGCUUAGGUCCUAAGUGAAAAUAGGGCGCAGGUGGCGGGAACCCAGUGUCACCCCCACGCUAAAGGGUGGAGGACCCCUGGAGGUUGUGCUGGAGGCUGGGAAAACGAGGAGCGAGAGAAGAUUGUAGCAGGAGAAGGGGGAGCUAGGCAGGAGUCAGAACCAGAGCUAGGCAAAAAGAUUUGGGAGAGCGAGAAGCUACUGCCGGGUUGGUACGUGGAGUGACCCCGUUCCCGGGGUGCUCUGGUUUACAGGAGUAUCAAACGUGCCGUCAGUUUGGCAGGACCUCUGUUCACUCAGCUUUAUCUUUAUCUUAAACCGAAGGAGCUGAAGAAACCCCGAGCUGGAUAUCAGCCGCCGAUACCAAACGGCCGGAGAAGGGGGAGGGCGUAGCUGGAGGAGGCGUAUCACGAGCUGGGACCGGCGGCUUUUAUCAGCUUUUGUUACGAGAUGAGAUCGCUCUGCUUUAUUCCUCUAGCUAGAGAAAAAUAUGUAGGCAAAUAAGUGAUGCUUGGGGUGUGCAGAGAUACCGAUUUCGGGGGCUCGUGUCCUGUUUGAGGUGCGGUGCAGCAACAUGGCUCUUCCUGGGGUAAGGUUUCCGUGCCAGCUGGAACUGCCGACGUCCUUUAAAACUCCUGUUUUUGUAAUUAUUCGUGGCAAAAAAUGGUCUCUUCCCACGCGACCUCCUGGCGUACUGCGCUCUGAGGUGAGCCGAGUAGGUUUUUUUUCCUCCAGCGCCGGAAUUUUUUCCUGAUUGCCUUGUGCCGGUCGAUAC